AAGCUUUUAAAGGAUAAUAGCGUAUCCAUUGGUUUUAGGAACCAAAAACUCUUGGUGCAACUCCAAGUAAAAGCU
Molecule: transfer RNA, 75 nt
Filed under: Trimma emeryi (Emery's goby)
Lineage: Eukaryota; Metazoa; Chordata; Actinopteri; Gobiiformes; Gobiidae
Description: tRNA-Leu
Source: RNAcentral